RNAcentral lists this long non-coding RNA (427 nucleotides) under Homo sapiens (human). Its description in RNAcentral is "non-protein coding lnc-LANCL2-4:1". The record is from RNAcentral. Lineage: Eukaryota; Metazoa; Chordata; Mammalia; Primates; Hominidae.
UGCGCCUGGCCCUUCUUUGUAUUUCUUGGUUUUGGUGUCUUAUCUCUCCGAGGAUGUUAAUUUAUCCAACUGGUUAAUGUAUCCAACUGAGUAAGUGCUUACUCAGCACCAGACAUUACGGAGGCACUUGGAAUCCAUCAGUGAAGAAAACAGGCGAAGACACUCACCUGAAUGCGUCUGCAGUCUAGCAGUUGGAGACAGUACACAUAAGUGUGUACAUUUUCUUAUAUGUUAUAAGGUAAUAAAUGAUACAGAAAAAGGAUAAAGCAAGCAGGAUCAGGGAGACUGAUGGUGGGAGGUACACAGGAGGCUCUUUGAAAUAGAACGGUAACCAUGACACCAAAGUCAACACUCGGAGAAAGUGAAGAGGCUGGCAGGUGAAUAAGUGUGGACAGGGCGCCUCACAGAGCAGGACAGGCAAAGGCCC